This 407-nucleotide ribosomal RNA is filed under the name uncultured bacterium. RNAcentral's name for it is "bacterial SSU rRNA". It matches the Rfam family "Bacterial small subunit ribosomal RNA", at positions 355 to 776 of the family's 1533-position model. The record is from RNAcentral.
UUAGGAAUCUUGCGCAAUGGGGGAAACCCUGACGCAGCAACGCCGCGUGAAGGACGAAGGCCUUCGGGUUGUAAACUUCUUUUAGCAGGAAAGAACACAAUGACGGUACCUGCAGAAAAAGCACCGGCUAACUCUGUGCCAGCAGCCGCGGUAAUACAGAGGGUGCAAGCGUUAUUCGGAUUUACUGGGCAUAAAGAGCGCGUAGGCGGUUUAAUAAGUCUGAUGUGAAAUCCCUGGACCCAAUCCAGGAAGUGCAUCGGAUACUGUUAGACUCGAGUACAGGAGGGGAGAGCGGAAUUCCAGGUGUAGAGGUGAAAUUCGUAGAUAUCUGGAGGAACAACAGUGGCGAAGGCGGCUCUCUGGACUGUUACUGACGCUGAGGCGCGAAAGCGUGGGGAGCAAACAGG